RNAcentral lists this ribosomal RNA (465 nucleotides) under Vreelandella stevensii. RNAcentral describes it as "partial 16S ribosomal RNA". It matches the Rfam family "Bacterial small subunit ribosomal RNA", at positions 338 to 795 of the family's 1533-position model. Lineage: Bacteria; Pseudomonadati; Pseudomonadota; Gammaproteobacteria; Oceanospirillales; Halomonadaceae. The record is from RNAcentral.
CCUACGAGGGGCAGCAGUGGGGAAUAUUGGACAAUGGGGGGAACCCUGAUCCAGCCAUGCCGCGUGUGUGAAGAAGGCCCUCGGGUUGUAAAGCACUUUCAGUGAGGAAGAACGCCUGGUGGUUAAUACCCAUCAGGAAAGACAUCACUCACAGAAGAAGCACCGGCUAACUCCGUGCCAGCAGCCGCGGUAAUACGGAGGGUGCGAGCGUUAAUCGGAAUUACUGGGCGUAAAGCGCGCGUAGGUGGCUUGAUAAGCCGGUUGUGAAAGCCCCGGGCUCAACCUGGGAACGGCAUCCGGAACUGUCAAGCUAGAGUGCAGGAGAGGAAGGUAGAAUUCCCGGUGUAGCGGUGAAAUGCGUAGAGAUCGGGAGGAAUACCAGUGGCGAAGGCGGCCUUCUGGACUGACACUGACACUGAGGUGCGAAAGCGUGGGUAACAAACAGGAUUAGAUACCCCGGUAGUC